UCGAGCGGACAGAUGGGAGCUUGCUCCCUGAUGUUAGCGGCGGACGGGUGAGUAACACGUGGGUAACCUGCCUGUAAGACUGGGAUAACUCCGGGAAACCGGGGCUAAUACCGGAUGGUUGUUUGAACCGCAUGGUUCAAACAUAAAAGGUGGCUUCGGCUACCACUUACAGAUGGACCCGCGGCGCAUUAGCUAGUUGGUGAGGUAAUGGCUCACCAAGGCAACGAUGCGUAGCCGACCUGAGAGGGUGAUCGGCCACACUGGGACUGAGACACGGCCCAGACUCCUACGGGAGGCAGCAGUAGGGAAUCUUCCGCAAUGGACGAAAGUCUGACGGAGCAACGCCGCGUGAGUGAUGAAGGUUUUCGGAUCGUAAAGCUCUGUUGUUAGGGAAGAACAAGUACCGUUCGAAUAGGGCGGUACCUUGACGGUACCUAACCAGAAAGCCACGGCUAACUACGUGCCAGCAGCCGCGGUAAUACGUAGGUGGCAAGCGUUGUCCGGAAUUAUUGGGCGUAAAGGGCUCGCAGGCGGUUUCUUAAGUCUGAUGUGAAAGCCCCCGGCUCAACCGGGGAGGGUCAUUGGAAACUGGGGAACUUGAGUGCAGAAGAGGAGAGUGGAAUUCCACGUGUAGCGGUGAAAUGCGUAGAGAUGUGGAGGAACACCAGUGGCGAAGGCGACUCUCUGGUCUGUAACUGACGCUGAGGAGCGAAAGCGUGGGGAGCGAACAGGAUUAGAUACCCUGGUAGUCCACGCCGUAAACGAUGAGUGCUAAGUGUUAGGGGUUUCCGCCCCUUAGU
RNAcentral lists this ribosomal RNA (800 nucleotides) under Bacillus tequilensis. RNAcentral's name for it is "bacterial SSU rRNA". It matches the Rfam family "Bacterial small subunit ribosomal RNA", at positions 62 to 844 of the family's 1533-position model. The record is from RNAcentral. Lineage: Bacteria; Bacillati; Bacillota; Bacilli; Caryophanales; Bacillaceae.